This is a long non-coding RNA of Perca fluviatilis (European perch), 293 nucleotides long. RefSeq lists it as uncharacterized. The transcript is spliced from 3 exons. NCBI's taxonomy places the organism in Eukaryota, Metazoa, Chordata, Actinopteri, Perciformes, Percidae. The record is from RefSeq and is a predicted model, not a curated record.
UCUUGAUCUAAUGUGAUUAACAACUAUGAUAUCAUUAUUUAACACUUAAUGAUACACUCCACCCGAUUGCAAUUCUCAAAACGAGGUAACCAACCAACUGAGCAGAAUGACAAUGGUCAAAAGAGAAGCAGCGGAUGACUACGUUUUUGUCAGCCACAUCUGACAGUUGGUAGCUACCGUGAAGCGGGCCUUUCGGAUUUAGGAGAAGGCGAAACAAGGUGCAGAUGGUCCAUUCAUUUCAGCUAGGCUGCAACUGUGGAUGAAGUGGAGUUGUAUAACUGGUCUACAAUGCU